Long non-coding RNA from Ornithodoros turicata, 761 nucleotides. RefSeq lists it as uncharacterized. The transcript is spliced from 4 exons. NCBI's taxonomy places the organism in Eukaryota, Metazoa, Arthropoda, Arachnida, Ixodida, Argasidae. The record is from RefSeq and is a predicted model, not a curated record.
GUCGCUGCAACUCAGAGCUGGUGGAACGCUGGCUUUCGCGGCCUGCGAAACGCUGCGACAGUUGGCGGACGACUUUGACAAACGCCGGCGUCCGUGGCGUCCCGCGAGGACGCUGCACUGACGGGGACUGCGACUUGACUAUGAAUUGAUGAGUUCGUUACUGACCACGACGAUAAUGGCUGUGCAACGAGGGUGCAGUGCUGCUACUGCGAUCAUUACCCGUCGAAGCACGCAGCGUUAAGCGAAAUAGGGAACUCACAUAAAGUGCAAGUGUGUGAUCCACGUCAAGAGGAGACUCAAUCGCCCGCCCCCUGUGUCGAUGAAUAUGGUAAGCUCUAACAUGACACACUGUGAUGAGAGAGUAUUUCCACAUCUGUGUUGCACAUCACAGGGCAGCCCAGCUCUGAUUAUGUGCACACCUCACUUUUUAACGGGGAAUUUUAAAGCGGCUAGCACAGGCAAGGCUCAGUUCCCAGGUGAACAGCGAUGUGCCAUCAUCGUCGAGGUUGACCAGGGUGGACGGCAUCGAACCAUCAGCAUUGACACAGACCAGGGUGAAGAGGUAGCUGGUAAAGGAGUCAUUCAACCCGGAUGGGCAAUUGCCACCUAGACCUGCCGUUUUCUUUACGGAACCUGAGGAAUGGCUUUAUGGUGGCACCCAAGGGAAACGCAUACCACUUCACCAUGCUUGUACUUUGGAAAAGGCCGUCGUCCUGUGCCUUCUUAUGUACGACAUUAAGGACUGGUCCUACCCACUUGCA